AACGAACGCUGGCGGCGUGUUUAAGACAUGCAAGUCGCACGGGAUAAGACAUGUAGUAACACUUGUUUUAUUUAGUGGCGCACGGGUGAGUAACACGUGAAUUACAUGCCCUAUAGUGGGGAAUAGCCCAGGGAAACUUGGAUUAAUACCCCAUGGUAUCGAAAGAUUAAAGGUGGCCGCAAGGCUGUCGCUAUAGGAUUGGUUCGCGCCCUAUCAGCUUGUUGGUGAGGUCACGGCUCACCAAGGCAAUGACGGGUACCUGGUCUGAGAGGACGAUCAGGCACACUGGAACUGAGACACGGUCCAGACACCUACGGGUGGCAGCAGUCGAGAAUAAUUCACAAUGGGGGCAACCCUGAUGGUGCAACGCCGCGUGGAGGAUGACGGUCUUCGGAUUGUAAACUCCUGUCAUCUGGGAGAAAGACCUGACGGUAAAUAGCCGGCAGGGUUGAUAGUACCAGAAGAGGAAGGGACGGCUAACUUCGUGCCAGCAGCCGCCGUAA
Molecule: ribosomal RNA, 503 nt
Filed under: uncultured bacterium
Lineage: Bacteria
Description: partial 16S ribosomal RNA
Rfam family: Bacterial small subunit ribosomal RNA
Source: RNAcentral